CCUCAUCUUGGAGAUUGGAGCUGACUGCUGUUAGCACUGCAGGGUUGGACACCACUGCCAAGGGCGCCGUGGGUGUAAGAACAAUGCCUUCAGCAUUGCUAGAGGAAGGAGCUAGGAGCCAACCAAUCUUCUGAUCUUCAGCCAUGGUCGGUCUUCCACAUAGGAUUCAAUUCUCACCCAAGACAGGACCCAACAAGAUUGGACUCUGGAGUAGAAUUCCUCCCAGGUCAUUUCGGGGGCAGAAUCUCAGGAUCAAUUGAUGCAAAGACGGAGCACACCGGCUCUCAAUCUCCUUUCAAAGGAGAGUCCAAAGGAUCCCAAUAAUGUCUACCGGGGACAGAGUUUCACCUCCGUCGGGGGAGUCAAAGCCCGGCUAAACCAGGACACGUCUUUCAGUGAGGUUCAAAGUCAGCUGCUGGGGAUGGGUCACUGAGAAAGGCGAGUCGCGUGGAUGAGUCAAGAGCCGGCUUUGUGAUGGCAAUAAGUUG
This is a long non-coding RNA of Antechinus flavipes (yellow-footed antechinus), 488 nucleotides long. RefSeq lists it as uncharacterized. Lineage: Eukaryota; Metazoa; Chordata; Mammalia; Dasyuromorphia; Dasyuridae. The transcript has 3 exons. The record is from RefSeq and is a predicted model, not a curated record.